GAUGAACGCUAGCGGCAGGCUUAAUACAUGCAAGUCAAGGGGGUAGCAAUACAACCGGCGCACGGGUGAGUAACGCGUACACAACAUACCAUAUACUGGAGUAUAGCUUUGGGAAACUGAAGGUAAUCCUCCAUAACAUUGCGAGAGGGCAUCUGAUUGCAAUUAAAGUUUCGGCGGUAUAUGAUUGGUGUGCGUUUGAUUAGCUAGUUGGUAGGGUAACGGCCUACCAAGGCGACGAUCAAUAGCUGGCGUGAGAGCGCGACCAGCCACACUGGAACUGAGACACGGUCCAGACUCCUACGGGAGGCAGCAGUAGGGAAGU
Molecule: ribosomal RNA, 322 nt
Filed under: uncultured bacterium
Lineage: Bacteria
Description: bacterial SSU rRNA
Rfam family: Bacterial small subunit ribosomal RNA
Source: RNAcentral